UACCUCAGCUCAUCCAUUGCUAUCCAUUUCUGCCUACCAGCUUUACACUUGCAGGAUGGUUUGUACACAUAAAAUGACACUAUUUUCCUUUGUCUUUUCUCAGAAGAGGAGGCUGUAGAAAGUUCUGCUGAUGCCAUCACUGGAAUCACCCAACUUUGCUCUUCUGAUACCAACAAACAUAACAGAGUGAUACCUGAAGCAAUAGACACUGGUGCUACCGAAUGUGCCACGCAGCAGUCAAGCUGUGAAAACAGCGGUUGAGCAACAUUCAGGAAGAUGCUACAUAGCUUCUGACAGAGUUUCUGCUGCUGACUGUAGGAUUUGUUACACAAGGAGGAUGAGCUCCCCAAAGACAGCACCAUUUUCAAGCAGCUCCCAAAAAUGCAUCCUGGAAGUGUCAGCUCUGCUUUGGUGUUGUCCGUGGGCACCCAGAUCUACCUGUUGUUGUUGAGCUCAAAGGCAAUUCUUCUGGCCUUCUUGGAGCAGUCUAUGGAAAGAGGCUUCCUUAUACCAUCAUCUUUAGAAGAUGCAUCAAUUCAUACCAUCCCUAAUCCUUUCAAUCCUGCAAAUUAUGGUUCUUUGAAUUUUCCUUUCAAGUAUUGCAUAGUAUUUAUCAAGAAAAUAGGGGAGGCGUUGCUUUGUUUCUUAAUAUUUUGGUAUUCUAUGAUAAAUUCACAUGUUCAGUCUAUUAGAAUCAUGUAUCUUGGCUUUUUUGGCAUAUUUUGUGAUUUGUUGCAUGCUGAUGUAAUCUACUUAAGUGUAUAAUUCAUUAGUAAUCUCAAAUUACUCUUUGGCUAAACAAGAGGGAAUCAAAUAAAACUAUAAAGACUUUUGAUGUGAUUAAUACU
This 848-nucleotide long non-coding RNA is filed under the name Calidris pugnax (ruff). RNAcentral's name for it is "lncRNA (ENSCPUG00000011319.1)". The record is from RNAcentral. Lineage: Eukaryota; Metazoa; Chordata; Aves; Charadriiformes; Scolopacidae.